GUGGGGAAUCUUAGACAAUGGGCGCAAGCCUGAUCUAGCCAUGCCGCGUGAGCGAUGAAGGCCUUAGGGUUGUAAAGCUCUUUCAGGGGGGAAGAUAAUGACGGUACCCCCAGAAGAAGCCCCGGCUAACUCCGUGCCAGCAGCCGCGGUAAUACGGAGGGGGCUAGCGUUGUUCGGAAUUACUGGGCGUAAAGCGCACGUAGGCGGACCAGAAAGUCAGGGGUGAAAUCCCGGGGCUCAACCCCGGAACUGCCUUUGAAACUCCUGGUCUUGAGGUCGGGAGAGGUGAGUGGAAUUCCGAGUGUAGAGGUGAAAUUCGUAGAUAUUCGGAGGAACACCAGUGGCGAAGGCGGCUCACUGGCUCGAUACUGACGCUGAGGUGCGAAAGCGUGGGGAGCAAACAGGAUUAGAAACCCGUGUAGUCC
This 425-nucleotide ribosomal RNA is filed under the name uncultured bacterium. Its description in RNAcentral is "partial 16S ribosomal RNA". It matches the Rfam family "Bacterial small subunit ribosomal RNA", at positions 354 to 796 of the family's 1533-position model. The record is from RNAcentral.